AUCAAUUUAGGCGAUUCAAGAUGAGCCUGAGAUGAGACCUGAACCACAUGGAAUGGACUAAAUUUAAUGUUGAUAAUCUGAUUGCAGUUGAUUUGUUCAAGUUGACGGGUGGAUUGAUUCUUAAGGAGCAAUAUAAUUUCACAUUUUGAUGUCAAUAAUUAAACUGUAUUAAUAGCGAUUCAUAAUAACUGGUGGAUUAACAUCUUGUAUUGAAUUUUUAGGUGUUGGGUUGCAACCGAUAUCUACAAUAUCACCUGAUUAAAGCAUUACUUCAGUGAAUGGUUAUCCGAUAUUCAAUUAUGCAUUCAAUCACCUAAUUUCACAAUCAAAUCCCAUAAUCAUAAUCAAAUUGUUAAUCAACUCAUUGUAUAAUCAGAUAAAGAUCUGAAAAAUAUUUUACCAAAUAUGCUAUUUGUAUGCCAUCUUUACAUUAUUGUAUCCAACAUUGAACCAGAAAUUUUUUUGGUAAUUUUCCGCUCAAAGCGACGAUCAUUUGUCCCACAUAUUUUAAUUAAUCAUCAUUGACAUCUAACAAUGAUUAGCCAUUUAAUUACAACAAUAAAUGGGUUCUCGCCUAACCCAGAAAAUCGAA
Tetranychus urticae (two-spotted spider mite) is the source of this 592-nucleotide non-coding RNA. The record is from RefSeq and is a predicted model, not a curated record. Lineage: Eukaryota; Metazoa; Arthropoda; Arachnida; Trombidiformes; Tetranychidae.